This is a non-coding RNA of Macaca mulatta (Rhesus monkey), 386 nucleotides long. NCBI's taxonomy places the organism in Eukaryota, Metazoa, Chordata, Mammalia, Primates, Cercopithecidae. The record is from RefSeq and is a predicted model, not a curated record.
GUUGGUGAUGAAGAACCCGGAAAUAUGCCAUCUUAGUCAUCUUUGUUCUUUGUUCCGCUACCCCUCCGUCCAGACAAUGACAAGACAUUUAAUAAGGUCAGCAGCCAUGGUGAUGGGGAAGGCGUUUAUUUGAGAGGCAGCUAAUAACAAUGAACGAUUAUGGAAAUAAGAGAAAAUUCAGAGGACUGAAGAUUGGCACAUGGUAGACAAUUUAGCAACAUAUGUCAAAUGCUUCAAAGAUGUGCAUCACCUGCAUCAAGUGUCAUACUAGUCAUGUGUCAUUUCCCUGAGGCAUGCAACUGAGGGGUCCUUGAUUAGUGCAUGGAAGCCCCUGCAUCCUAAACUUAACACGUGAUCCUGGUUAAAUGGAAGGCUUAAAGAACUUG